Molecule: ribosomal RNA, 438 nt
Filed under: uncultured bacterium
Lineage: Bacteria
Description: bacterial SSU rRNA
Rfam family: Bacterial small subunit ribosomal RNA
Source: RNAcentral
AGAGUUUGAUCCUGGCUCAGAUUGAACGCUGGCGGCAUGCCUUACACAUGCAAGUCGAACGGCAGCACGGGGCAACCUGGUGGCGAGUGGCGAACGGGUGAGUAAUAUAUCGGAACGUACCCAGAAGUGGGGGAUAACGCAGCGAAAGUUGCGCUAAUACCGCAUACGAUCUACGGAUGAAAGUGGGGGACCUGCAAGGGCCUCCAUGCUUUUGGAGUGGCCGAUAUCUGAUUAGCUAGUUGGUGAGGUAAUGGCUCACCAAGGCGACAAUCCGUAGCUGGUCUGAGAGGACGACCAGCCACACCGGAACUGAGACACGGUCCGGACUCCUACGGGAGGCAGCAGUGGGGAAUAUUGGACAAUGGGGGAAACCCUGAUCCAGCGACGCCGCGUGUGUGAAGAAGGCCUGCGGGUUGUAAAGCACUUUUAGUGGGGACA